RNAcentral lists this long non-coding RNA (231 nucleotides) under Musa acuminata (dwarf banana). RNAcentral's name for it is "long non-coding RNA (MACU_LNC005723)". The record is from RNAcentral. Lineage: Eukaryota; Viridiplantae; Streptophyta; Magnoliopsida; Zingiberales; Musaceae.
UACGCUGAUGCAAAACCCUAGUGAUAAUUUCAAAAGAUGUUAUUGUCUUUCAAUGGCUUCCUACUUUAACUCUCUCUUUUUUCAUGAGCGUUCGACAUCUAUCAGAAAGUCUUCAUAAUAGCAUAGCAUGUGAAUCCUCUUUCGAGAAAAGAAAAAGAAGAGAAGACUAAAACUGUCUUUGUCGUGCAAAUUCGUUGAGGAGUGAGAGUAGAACCUGAAAUCAAAAGAAAA